CGCGUAGGCGGCUGUGCAAGUCGGAGGUGAAAUCCCUCGGCUCAACCGAGGAACUGCCUCCGAUACUGCCUGGCUUGAGUCCCGGAGAGGGUAGCGGAAUUCCCAGUGUAGCGGUGAAAUGCGUAGAUAUUGGGAGGAACACCCGUGGCGAAGGCGGCUACCUGGACGGGUACUGACGCUGAGGCGCGAAAGCUAGGGGAGCAAACA
Molecule: ribosomal RNA, 207 nt
Filed under: uncultured bacterium
Lineage: Bacteria
Description: partial 16S ribosomal RNA
Rfam family: Bacterial small subunit ribosomal RNA
Source: RNAcentral